UACAGAGGUCUCAAGCGUUGUUCGGAUUCAUUGGGCGUAAAGGGUGCGUAGGCGGCGCGGUAAGUCGGGUGUGAAAUCUUGGAGCUUAACUCCGAAACUGCAUUCGAUACUGCCGUGCUUGAGGACUGGAGAGGAGACUGGAAUUUACGGUGUAGCGGUGAAAUGCGUAGAUAUCGUAAGGAAGACCAGUGGCGAAGGCGAGUCUCUGGACAGUUCCUGACGCUGAGGCACGAAGGCCAGGGGAGCAAACGGG
RNAcentral lists this ribosomal RNA (253 nucleotides) under uncultured bacterium. RNAcentral's name for it is "partial 16S ribosomal RNA". It matches the Rfam family "Bacterial small subunit ribosomal RNA", at positions 524 to 776 of the family's 1533-position model. The record is from RNAcentral.